This 497-nucleotide ribosomal RNA is filed under the name uncultured bacterium. RNAcentral describes it as "partial 16S ribosomal RNA". It matches the Rfam family "Bacterial small subunit ribosomal RNA", at positions 28 to 507 of the family's 1533-position model. The record is from RNAcentral.
GAUGAACGCUGGCGGCGUGCCUAAUACAUGCAAGUCGAGCGAACAGACGAGGAGCUUGCUCCUUUGACGUUAGCGGCGGACGGGUGAGUAACACGUGGAUAACCUACCUAUUAGACUGGGAUAACUUCGGGAAACCGGAGCUAAUACCGGAUAAUAUGUUGAACCGCAUGGUUCAACAGUGAAAGACGGUCUUGCUGUCACUUAUAGAUGGAUCCGCGCCGCAUUAGCUAGUUGGUAAGGUAACGGCUUACCAAGGCAACGAUGCGUAGCCGACCUGAGAGGGUGAUCGGCCACACUGGAACUGAGACACGGUCCAGACUCCUACGGGAGGCAGCAGUAGGGAAUCUUCCGCGAUGGGCGAAAGCCUGACGGAGCAACACCGCGUGAGUGAAGAAGGUCUUCUGAUCGUAAAACUCUGUUAUUAGGAAAGAACAAAUGCGUGAGUAACUAUGCACGUCUUGACGGUACCUAAUCAGAAAGCCACGGCUAACUACGUG